This 467-nucleotide ribosomal RNA is filed under the name uncultured bacterium. RNAcentral's name for it is "partial 16S ribosomal RNA". It matches the Rfam family "Bacterial small subunit ribosomal RNA", at positions 28 to 506 of the family's 1533-position model. The record is from RNAcentral.
GACGAACGCUGGCGGCGUGCCUAACACAUGCAAGUCGAACGGAAAGGCCCUGCUUUUGUGGGGUGCUCGAGUGGCGAACGGGUGAGUAACACGUGAGUAACCUGCCCUUGACUUUGGGAUAACUUCAGGAAACUGGGGCUAAUACCGGAUAGGAGCUCCUGCUGCAUGGUGGGGGUUGGAAAGUUUCGGCGGUUGGGGAUGGACUCGCGGCUUAUCAGCUUGUUGGUGGGGUAGUGGCUUACCAAGGCUUUGACGGGUAGCCGGCCUGAGAGGGUGACCGGCAAAAUUGGAGUGAGGGUACGGCCCAGACCCAAACGGGAGGAAAGAGGGGGAAAUUUUGCCAAAGGGGCGGAGGCGUGAAAAAGGACCGCCGGGUGGGGAAUGACGGCCUUUGGGUUGAAAACCACUUUAGCCUGUAACGAAGGGUGGGGAAGGGAAAUGGGGAAAAAAGCCCGGGCAAACUACGG